Molecule: unclassified non-coding RNA, 332 nt
Filed under: soil metagenome
Description: partial contains 5.8S ribosomal RNA, internal transcribed spacer 2, and large subunit ribosomal RNA
Rfam family: 5.8S ribosomal RNA (bases 1-120)
Source: RNAcentral
GAUGAAGAACGUAGCGAAAUGCGAUAAGUAGUGUGAAUUGCAGAAUUCAGUGAAUCAUCGAAUCUUUGAACGCACAUUGCGCCCUUUGGUAUUCCUUAGGGCAUGCCUGUUCGAGCGUCAUUUAAACCUUCAAGCUCAGCUUGGUGUUGGGUGACUGUCCGCUUCACCGCGGACUCGCCUCAAAAUUAUUGGCGGCCGGUACAUUGGCUUCGAGCGCAGCAGAAACGCGAACUCGGGCCCGUCGUAUUGGCUCCCAGAAGCUAACUUCACAAUUUUGACCUCGGAUCAGGUAGGGAUACCCGCUGAACUUAAGCAUAUCAAUAAGCGGAGGA